UGCCAGCCGCCGCGGUAAUACGGAAGGUCCGGGCGUUAUCCGGAUUUAUUGGGUUUAAAGGGAGCGCAGGCGGACUUUUAAGUCAGUUGUGAAAUACGGCGGCUCAACCGUCGGACUGCAGUUGAAACUGGAAGUCUUGAGUGCACACAGGGAUGUUGGAAUUCAUGGUGUAGCGGUGAAAUGCUCAGAUAUCAUGAAGAACUCCGAUCGCGAAGGCAGAUGUCCGGAGUGCAACUGACGCUGAGGCUCGAAAGUGCGGGUAUCAAACAGGAUUAGAUA
RNAcentral lists this ribosomal RNA (279 nucleotides) under uncultured bacterium. RNAcentral's name for it is "partial 16S ribosomal RNA". It matches the Rfam family "Bacterial small subunit ribosomal RNA", at positions 506 to 784 of the family's 1533-position model. The record is from RNAcentral.